This 78-nucleotide non-coding RNA is filed under the name Anoxynatronum buryatiense. The record is from RNAcentral. Lineage: Bacteria; Bacillati; Bacillota; Clostridia; Eubacteriales; Clostridiaceae.
AACCCGGUUGGAAAAGAUUUAUCGUGAGGAGUCAGAUGAAGCCAUAGUAGCAGUACAGAAAAUAGUGCUGUGAAGGGC